AGUGAACGCUGGCGGUAGGCCUAACACAUGCAAGUCGAACGGCAGCACAGUAAGAGCUUGCUCUUACGGGUGGCGAGUGGCGGACGGGUGAGGAAUACAUCUGAAUCUACUUUUUCGUGGGGGAUAACGUAGGGAGACUUACGCUAAUACCGCAUACGACCUACGGGUGAAAGCAGGGGAUCUUCGGACCUUGCGCGAUUGAAUGAGCCGAUGUCGGAUUAGCUAGUUGGCGGGGUAAAGGCCCACCAAGGCGACGAUCCGUAGCUGGUCUGAGAGGAUGAUCAGCCACACUGGAACUGAGACACGGUCCAGAAUCCUACGGGAGGCAGCAGUGGGGAAUAUUGGACAAUGGGCGCAAGCCUGAUCCAGCCAUACCGCGUGGGUGAAGAAGGCCUUCGGGUUGUAAAGCCCUUUUGUUGGGAAAGAAAAGCAGCAGGUUAAUACCCCGCUGUUCUGACGGUACCCAAAGAAUAAGCACCGGCUAACUUCGUG
This 492-nucleotide ribosomal RNA is filed under the name uncultured bacterium. Its description in RNAcentral is "partial 16S ribosomal RNA". It matches the Rfam family "Bacterial small subunit ribosomal RNA", at positions 29 to 507 of the family's 1533-position model. The record is from RNAcentral.